Molecule: long non-coding RNA, 322 nt
Organism: Ornithodoros turicata
Lineage: Eukaryota; Metazoa; Arthropoda; Arachnida; Ixodida; Argasidae
Exons: 3
Source: RefSeq, a predicted model, not a curated record
GUUAUCAUAGGUUACGCGCGACUCCAGAGGCAAUUUGGAAUCUCGGCACGAAAUCGUCUGAUGAAAAUCUGAGGUGCCCGACGCACAACAUUUUGAACGUGCCACGGAGGAUCAAGGCAAAAAACGAGAGCAAAAAAGGUGCACGCUGAAGGCGGAAAUGAAGCAUGAUCUGGCUUGCAUCUGGUGCAUGAAGAAAUUGCUGACACGUUAGUUGCAGUCUACCUCCACCAACAGGGUGGAAAACAAAGGUCGCCAUUCCGAUUAGCUGCUAUCUCCCAGUUCAAGCACUUUUGCUGUCUGGACACUGGUUCCUGUGGAUGGG